Molecule: ribosomal RNA, 253 nt
Filed under: uncultured bacterium
Lineage: Bacteria
Description: partial 16S ribosomal RNA
Rfam family: Bacterial small subunit ribosomal RNA
Source: RNAcentral
UACAGAGGGUGCGAGCGUUGUCCGGAAUCACUGGGCGUAAAGGGCGCGUAGGCGGCCUGAUAAGUAGGGGGUGAAAUCUUGCGGCUCAACCGCAGGGCUGCCUUCUAAACUGUCAGGCUGGAGCACGGUAGAGGCAGAUGGAAUUCCCGGUGUAGCGGUGGAAUGCGUAGAGAUCGGGAAGAACACCAGUGGCGAAGGCGGUCUGCUGGGCCGUUGCUGACGCUGAGGCGCGACAGCGUGGGGAGCAAACAGG